This 378-nucleotide ribosomal RNA is filed under the name uncultured bacterium. RNAcentral's name for it is "bacterial SSU rRNA". It matches the Rfam family "Bacterial small subunit ribosomal RNA", at positions 963 to 1340 of the family's 1533-position model. The record is from RNAcentral.
GAAGAACCUUACCUGGCCUUGACAUGUAACGAACUUUCCAGAGAUGGAUGGGUGCUCGAAAGAGAACGUUAACACAGGUGCUGCAUGGCUGUCGUCAGCUCGUGUCGUGAGAUGUUGGGUUAAGUCCCGCAACGAGCGCAACCCUUGCCAUUAAUUGCCAUCAUUUAGUUGGGCACUUUAAUGGGACUGCCGGUGACAAACCGGAGGAAGGUGGGGAUGACGUCAAGUCCUCAUGGCCCUUAUGGCCAGGGCUUCACACGUAAUACAAUGGUCGGUACAGAGGGUUGCCAACCCGCGAGGGGGAGCCAAUCCCAGAAAGCCGAUCGUAGUCCGGAUUGUAGUCUGCAACUCGACUCCAUGAGGUCGGAAUCGGUAGGA